UACGGAGGGAGCAAACGUUGUUCGGAUUUACUGGGUGUAAAGGGUGCGUAGGCGGCUACGUGUGUCAGAGGUGAAAUCCCACGGCUCAACCGUGGAAUUGCCUUUGAAACUGCGUGGCUUGAGUCCGAGAGAGGAAGACGGAAUUCCUGGUGUAACGGUGAAAUGUGCAGAUAUCAGGAAGAACACCGGUGGCGAAGGCGGUCUUCUGGCUCGGUACUGACGCUGAGGCACGAAGCUAGGGUAUCAAACG
RNAcentral lists this ribosomal RNA (250 nucleotides) under uncultured bacterium. RNAcentral describes it as "partial 16S ribosomal RNA". It matches the Rfam family "Bacterial small subunit ribosomal RNA", at positions 524 to 774 of the family's 1533-position model. The record is from RNAcentral.